This 27-nucleotide non-coding RNA is filed under the name Homo sapiens (human). The record is from RNAcentral. Lineage: Eukaryota; Metazoa; Chordata; Mammalia; Primates; Hominidae.
CUGAACUCCUCACACCCAAUUGGACCA